RNAcentral lists this ribosomal RNA (661 nucleotides) under Bacillus velezensis. RNAcentral's name for it is "bacterial SSU rRNA". It matches the Rfam family "Bacterial small subunit ribosomal RNA", at positions 25 to 677 of the family's 1533-position model. The record is from RNAcentral. Lineage: Bacteria; Bacillati; Bacillota; Bacilli; Caryophanales; Bacillaceae.
CAAGAAGAGGCUGGCGGCGUGCCUAUACAUGCAGUCGGCGGAAGAUGGGAGCUUGCUCCCUGAUGUUAGCGGCGGACGGGUGAGUAACACGUGGGUAACCUGCCUGUAAGACUGGGAUAACUCCGGGAAACCGGGGCUAAUACCGGAUGGUUGUUUGAACCGCAUGGUUCAGACAUAAAAGGUGGCUUCGGCUACCACUUACAGAUGGACCCGCGGCGCAUUAGCUAGUUGGUGAGGUAACGGCUCACCAAGGCGACGAUGCGUAGCCGACCUGAGAGGGUGAUCGGCCACACUGGGACUGAGACACGGCCCAGACUCCUACGGGAGGCAGCAGUAGGGAAUCUUCCGCAAUGGACGAAAGUCUGACGGAGCAACGCCGCGUGAGUGAUGAAGGUUUUCGGAUCGUAAAGCUCUGUUGUUAGGGAAGAACAAGUGCCGUUCAAAUAGGGCGGCACCUUGGCGGUACCUAGCCAGAAAGCCACGGCUAACUACGUGCCAGCAGCCGCGGUAAUACGUAGGUGGCAAGCGUUGUCCGGAAUUAUUGGGCGUAAAGGGCUCGCAGGCGGUUUCUUAAGUCUGAUGUGAAACCCCCGGCUCAACCGGGGAGGGUCAUUGGAAACUGGGGAACUUGAUGCAGAAGAGGAGAUGGAUUUCCAGUAUA